This 371-nucleotide ribosomal RNA is filed under the name uncultured bacterium. RNAcentral describes it as "bacterial SSU rRNA". It matches the Rfam family "Bacterial small subunit ribosomal RNA", at positions 527 to 896 of the family's 1533-position model. The record is from RNAcentral.
GAAGGGGGCUAGCGUUGCUCGGAAUUACUGGGCGUAAGGGGCGCGUAGGCGGCACUGUUAGUCAGGCGUGAAAGUCCUGGGCUCAACCUGGGAACUGCGCUUGAUACGGCAGAGCUAGAGGAUGGAAGAGGGUCGCGGAAUUCCCAGUGUAGAGGUGAAAUUCGUAGAUAUUGGGAAGAACACCGGUGGCGAAGGCGGCGACCUGGUCCAUUACUGACGCUGAGGCGCGACAGCGUGGGGAGCAAACAGGAUUAGAUACCCUGGUAGUCCACGCCCUAAACGAUGUCGACUAGGUGUUGGGGAAGGAGACUUCCUUAGUACCGCAGCUAACGCGUGAAGUCGACCGCCUGGGGAGUACGGUCGCAAGAUUA